RNAcentral lists this ribosomal RNA (437 nucleotides) under Wolbachia endosymbiont of Betacallis querciphaga. RNAcentral describes it as "bacterial SSU rRNA". It matches the Rfam family "Bacterial small subunit ribosomal RNA", at positions 992 to 1428 of the family's 1533-position model. The record is from RNAcentral. Lineage: Bacteria; Pseudomonadati; Pseudomonadota; Alphaproteobacteria; Rickettsiales; Anaplasmataceae.
CAUACCUAUUCGAAGGGAUAGGGUCGGUUUGGCCGGAUUUCACACAGGUGUUGCAUGGCUGUCGUCAGCUCGCGUCGUGAGAUGUUGGGUUAAGUCCCGCAACGAGCGCAACCCUCAUCCUUAGUUACCAUCAGGUUAUGCUGGGGACUUUAAGGAAACUGCCAGUGAUAAACUGGAGGAAGGUGGGGAUGAUGUCAAGUCAUCAUGGCCCUUAUGGAGUGGGCUACACACGUGCUACAAUGGUGAUUACAAUGGGCUGCAAGGUCGCAAGGCUGAGCUAAUCCUAAAAAAUCAUCUCAGUUCGGAUUGUUCUCUGCAACUCGAGAGCAUGAAGUUGGAAUCGCUAGUAAUCGUGGAUCAGCAUGCCACGGUGAAUACGUUCUCGGGUCUUGUACACACUGCCCGUCACGCCAUGGGAAUUGGUUUCACUCGAAGCU